This 680-nucleotide ribosomal RNA is filed under the name Micromonospora auratinigra. Its description in RNAcentral is "bacterial SSU rRNA". It matches the Rfam family "Bacterial small subunit ribosomal RNA", at positions 99 to 794 of the family's 1533-position model. The record is from RNAcentral. Lineage: Bacteria; Bacillati; Actinomycetota; Actinomycetes; Micromonosporales; Micromonosporaceae.
CGAACGGGUGAGUAACACGUGAGCAACCUGCCCUAGGCUUUGGGAUAACCCCGGGAAACCGGGGCUAAUACCGAAUAUGACUUCUGGUCGCAUGACCGGUGGUGGAAAGUUUUUCGGCCUGGGAUGGGCUCGCGGCCUAUCAGCUUGUUGGUGGGGUGAUGGCCUACCAAGGCGACGACGGGUAGCCGGCCUGAGAGGGCGACCGGCCACACUGGGACUGAGACACGGCCCAGACUCCUACGGGAGGCAGCAGUGGGGAAUAUUGCACAAUGGGCGGAAGCCUGAUGCAGCGACGCCGCGUGAGGGAUGACGGCCUUCGGGUUGUAAACCUCUUUCAGCAGGGACGAAGCGUAAGUGACGGUACCUGCAGAAGAAGCGCCGGCCAACUACGUGCCAGCAGCCGCGGUAAGACGUAGGGCGCGAGCGUUGUCCGGAUUUAUUGGGCGUAAAGAGCUCGUAGGCGGCUUGUCGCGUCGACUGUGAAAACCCGCAGCUCAACUGCGGGCCUGCAGUCGAUACGGGCAGGCUAGAGUUCGGUAGGGGAGACUGGAAUUCCUGGUGUAGCGGUGAAAUGCGCAGAUAUCAGGAGGAACACCGGUGGCGAAGGCGGGUCUCUGGGCCGAUACUGACGCUGAGGAGCGAAAGCGUGGGGAGCGAACAGGAUUAGAUACCCUGGUAGU